UACGUAGGGGGCUAGCGUUAUCCGGAAUUACUGGGCGUAAAGGGUGCGUAGGUGGUUUCUUAAGUCAGAGGUGAAAGGCUACGGCUCAACCGUAGUAAGCCUUUGAAACUGGGGAACUUGAGUGCAGGAGAGGAGAGUGGAAUUCCUAGUGUAGCGGUGAAAUGCGUAGAUAUUAGGAGGAACACCAGUUGCGAAGGCGGCUCUCUGGACUGUAACUGACACUGAGGCACGAAAGCGUGGGUAGCAAACAGG
This 252-nucleotide ribosomal RNA is filed under the name uncultured bacterium. RNAcentral describes it as "partial 16S ribosomal RNA". It matches the Rfam family "Bacterial small subunit ribosomal RNA", at positions 524 to 776 of the family's 1533-position model. The record is from RNAcentral.